ACGGGAGGCAGCAGUGAGGAAUAUUGGUCAAUGGGCGGAAGCCUGAACCAGCCAAGUCGCGUGAAGGAUGAAGGUAUUAUGUAUUGUAAACUUCUUUAGACGUAGAGAAAUAAGGGGAUCGUGAUCCCUGAUGCUAGUAUACGUAGAAUAAGGAUCGGCUAACUACGUGCCAGCAGCCGCGGUAAUACGUAGGGAGCGAGCGUUAUCCGGAAUUACUGGGUGUAAAGGGAGUGUAGGCGGGACUGUAAGUCAGAUGUGAAAUAUGCCGGCUCAACUGGCAGACUGCAUUUGAAACUGCGGUUCUUGAGUGAAGUAGAGGUAAGCGGAAUUCCUAGUGUAGCGGUGAAAUGCGUAGAUAUUAGGAGGAACAUCAGUGGCGAAGGCGGCUUACUGGGCUUUAACUGACGCUGAGGCUCGAAAGCGUGGGGAGCAAACAGGAUUAGAUACCCUGGUA
RNAcentral lists this ribosomal RNA (454 nucleotides) under uncultured Ruminococcus sp. Its description in RNAcentral is "partial 16S ribosomal RNA". It matches the Rfam family "Bacterial small subunit ribosomal RNA", at positions 341 to 792 of the family's 1533-position model. Lineage: Bacteria; Bacillati; Bacillota; Clostridia; Eubacteriales; Oscillospiraceae. The record is from RNAcentral.